RNAcentral lists this long non-coding RNA (3377 nucleotides) under Sus scrofa (pig). RNAcentral describes it as "lncRNA (ENSSSCG00050063826.1)". Lineage: Eukaryota; Metazoa; Chordata; Mammalia; Artiodactyla; Suidae. The record is from RNAcentral.
CUCUAGACUUUUAAAUUACCUGGGCCAUUAUAGUCUUUUUCUUAAGCCUUUUUGAGUCUUUUGCUUAUGGUUCUAAGGAUCUUAAAUAAAACAGCAAUUAAAAAUUACAAUUCUGAUCACCAAUUCCAGUAUUGGAGGGGUGUUCCCAACCAAGAAAAUUUCAGGCACCAGCUGGGUGUGCUAUAAUUCAACUCAGUUCAAACACUAUCUACUUGGAGAUAGCAUCAGAUCCCACAGGUUCAGGGCUCCAUCCUAUACGAUUCCCCUGUGCCCCCAUCCCUCAUCAGAUGGCAGUCAAAAUCCAGGUUGUCACAUGUGUUUCAUACUGAUUGGUUAUAGAUCAGAAUUUCUGAAGACUCCUUCCUUGGGUUUGGUUAACUUGUUAGAAGGGCUGAAAGAACUCAGAGGAACACAUUACUACUGAACUACCAGUUUGUUAUAAAAACAUAUAACCCAGGAACAGCCAGAUGGAAGAAAUGCAUAGGGCAAGGUAUGUGUGAGGGGGCUCUGAGCUCUGUGUUCUCUAAAUGUGCCCCUCUCCCCAAAUCUCCACAUAUUUACCAACCAGGAGGUCUCUUAGCCCAUACUUGGGGGGUUUUCCAGAGCAUUACAUGGGCAUGUUUGAUUAAAUCAUUGGCCGUUGGAGAUUGACUAAACCUCUAGCCCUUCCCCACUCCCUGGAGGUCAUGGGUGUGAGACUGAACGUUCUAAUCCUCUAAUUCUGUGGUUGAUCUCUCAACCAGUCCUCAUCCUUAGGUUGGAUUAAAAAGUCCUCUCAUUAACAAAACAAAAGAUACAUUUCUAGCUCUCAUCACUUAAGAAAUUCCAAGGUUAAAACAAGGAGUUAUGUGCCAGGAAUAUUGGUCAAAGACCAAAUAUAUAUUUCUUAUUAUAAAUCACAGUAUCAUAAUAGUAAAAGUGCAUCAAUAAUCAAAAUAGUUAAAAACAAAAUAGUUAUCAAGUAGGAGAAAAUAACUUUAUUUUUAUGUAAUUUCUGUCUUUUAACGUGUCUAAGUGUAUCUCCAUUUCCUUCCUAUGAUUUUUUUUUUUUGAGGUGAUUCCAGACUUUCCUCAUCAUUUUAGACUAUUUAAUUGCAUAUUGUUCACUUUUAGGAAGCAAAAAAAUUCUUAGCAAGUUUAAAUCAAAAUAGCAGUCUCACAUCUAAUUUGAUUCCAGUGUCUUUCUUUUGACAUUUAGGCCAGACACACUGCUUGCUCUAGCCUGCAAUAGGACACAGGCCAUGAACUCAACUUUCAGAUUUCCUUCUUCUUCUUCCAAGCCUUUAUUUAGUUGCUCUUUUCUGUUUGUUGGUUUUGUUUUGUUGGUUUAUUUAUUUAUUUAUUUUCUCGUAGUUCUGUCUUGGCUAAUAGUAAACGACUAGUGUGUUCUCCAUUAUAGCAAGCUUCUAAAUGGUGCUUUCUCAUGUAUAACUUUUUUUUUUUUUUCCUUUUUGAGUUCUUCAGCCAAUAUCUCCAAACAUUGUUCACUGAGAUUGUUCCAGAUCAUUGCUUCAUGACACGGCAAUGUACUUUCCAGCUGACCUAGAAUGACAUCCUUUCAGCCUUUGUCUUCAGGGAUCCAUCCUGUUAGGAUCCCCUCUCUCCCAGAGGCAUUUUAAAAGUAUGAUGCCAUAAAGACAGCUCAAGCUCACUUGGUCUAAAAGGAAAUGCAUGCCUUGUUUUCAUGCCAGACUGUGGGUAGUCUCUCUCUUCUUUGUCUUUCCAUGAAAGGCAGUUGCAGCCAGCCAUGUAUCUUCUGAUUUUCCCAGCUUGGCAGCAGAUCCCAAUAUCUAUUUUUAUAAACACUAUCAAACUUCAGGGAACACGCAUAAAUUCCUCCUAGAUGGCAAGUGCUCUGAGGCCUCCCUCAUCCAAAUUUGAUGCACUGAGUAAGGCUUAAAAGUCUGCAUCUUGAAAAUGUUUGAUUUCAGAGGUUGAUCUGGUUUCUCUUGGUUUGCAGACCUUCAAAGUCUCAGGGAGCCUCCCUUUCUUAGUUAGUGGGGAGAGCCUUCCUUCCCUUCUUCAUAUGCAUUCCCCCUAGUAAUAGUACUCGCUACUAGCUUGGUAAUUCUCUCCUUCCACAACUUACCUUUCUCCCCAGGAACUCCUGUCUUUUGCUUAUAUAGAAUGGAUGGGAGAGGUGAAAAGGAAAAAGUGGUUCCAAUCUGAUCACUUCUUAAGAAAUCUUCAGGGGAAAUCUCUUUGGCUGCUCUUUAGGACAUAGAGUCAUUUAUUGACAGAGAUAUUCAAUACAUUUAAUGGCACCAUGGCAGACCCUUGUCAUGGAUUCAGACCACAAGUUUACAGCAGUAUUCUGGAAAGGCCUUGGUGAUCCAGGAUCUAGCAUCAUUUUGAUGGAUCAUUUAAAAAUCAAGGGGGUUCAGGGGAGAAGCCAAGGUGGUAGAGGGGUAAAGCUCAGGGAAUUGUCUCUUUACCAACUGCCCAUAAUUAUUUCUACAUUUUAGCUACCAGGUGAUUAUCAGCCCUUCCAAUGGCCAGUUAUUCUUGGGAUUGAAGCUUGAGUUAUGGUUUAAGAAAUAAUAAGAGGGAGUUCCCGUCAUGGCUCAGUGGUUAAUGAAUCUGACUAAGAACCAUGAGGUUGAGGGUUUGAUCCCUGGUCUUGCUCAGUGGGUUAAGGAUCUGGUGAGCUGUGGUGUAGUUCACAGAUGCAGCUCGGAUCCCGCGUUACUGUGGCUCUGGUGUAGGCCAGUGGCUACAGUUCCAAUUUGACCCCUAGCCUGGGAACUUCCAUGUGCUGUGGAUGUGGCCCUAGAAAAGACAAAAUAUACAUAAAUAAAUAAAACUNUGAUGGGGCCAGUGUCCAAAAUUUUUUUUGAUAAAAAGAAUGUAACUGAGUUAAGGAAUGAGCCUUGGAAAGAAGAACACACAAAGACAUGGCGUAAAAGGAGAGGAAAUCAAAACAAUGUGAUAUCCAGAAAAUAAGAACUAUCUUAAAGUAGGCCAUUGAAGUGGGAGGAUAAGGAGACUGAAGGCGAAGGGAACAUCCUUGUGUUGAUUGGCUACCUUCAUAAGAAAACUCUUAGGAGGGUGGUGAAGGUGAAACGAGAGGAGGACAGGAGAGCAGAGGGGGAGUUUCCAUCAUGGCUCAGUGGUUAACAAACCCAACUAGCAUCCAUGAGGAUGUGGGUUGGAUCCCUGGCCUUGUUCAGUGAGUUAAGGAUCUGGCAUUGCCGUGAACUGUGGUAUAGGUCACAGACGUGGCUUGCAUCCCACAUUGCUGUGGCUGUGGUGUAGGCCAGCGGAUAUGGCUCCAAUUCAACCCCUAGCCUGCCUGGGAACUUCCAUAGGCCUCAAGUGCAAUCCUAAAAAGACAGAAAGCAAACAAACAAAAAAAAGCAAAAAAAAAAAAAAAAAAA